UUUAAGUGCAACCAUAAGUUUCCGUGUCCAAUUUUGAUCGUCCGUCUUAUUUGAAAUUAUUUUUAAUUAAUAUUUUUGUUGUUAUGAGAUGAUAAAACAUGAAUAUUACUUUACUCAUGACAUAUGUUUUUAAUUUUUUAAAAUUAAAAUGGGACAGAGGGAGUAGCUAGCUAGCAUAUGUAAUUAAU
Molecule: microRNA precursor, 188 nt
Filed under: Oryza rufipogon (brownbeard rice)
Lineage: Eukaryota; Viridiplantae; Streptophyta; Magnoliopsida; Poales; Poaceae
Description: MIR812 microRNA precursor family
Rfam family: MIR812 microRNA precursor family
Source: Rfam by way of RNAcentral